Non-coding RNA from Podarcis lilfordi (Lilford's wall lizard), 3123 nucleotides. The record is from the annotation of a GenBank genome assembly. NCBI's taxonomy places the organism in Eukaryota, Metazoa, Chordata, Lepidosauria, Squamata, Lacertidae.
UUCUCGCUUUCCCCAUUUUUGCGAUCCUCCGCUGCCCCCUGCCGGCUGCUUUCUUCCCCAGCUGAAGUGGAAAUCAGGUGAUUUCUAGGAAAUCCUUCAAGGGACCAGUUGAAGCAAGUCACGGAUUGCAAAAAAAUGGUCAAGGUUCCCACAUAUGUCACAGCUUUGGAAUCUGUGCAAGUGAGUGUAUGCCUACCUAUGGUAUGGAAAAGCGGAAAUAUAUAAAAGUUUUACAAAUCACGUAAUCAGAAAAAACCUAUUUAGAGUAUGGGGAAAGUAGAAAAACUUAUUAGAAAGAAAAACACCACUGUGGAUAUCCCCAGUGGAAGCUACAACCAGGAAAAGAAUAAAUAUGGAUAAGCAGUGGUUAACUUACAGUGAAAUUUUAUCUCUUACAGGACAGGAACCAAAACUGAGAAAUCUCGAGGAAUUAAGAAAUCUGGUUACCAAUUAGCUACAGGUACAUCACAUUAAUGAAUUGUUUAAGAUAGAUAGGAAAAAUGGUUUUGCAGAACAAAAGUCUGAGUUUACCAAAGACCUAUUAGAUACAAAUAUAGAAGUAUUAUCAAAUUUGUACAAACUGCUGUUGGAGUGAGAAACGAAAGAGGAAUUUGUGAAAUUUAGCAGGAUUAAGUGGGCACAGGAUGUGGGUCACAAUAUCAAUCAUGAAUUGUGGGGAAAGUUGUGGAAAAUAAAUAUGAAUUUUAUGGCAAAUUAUGCAAUAAAAAAUUAUAUGAUGAAAAUGGCCCACAGAUGAUAUUUAACACCCACCAGAUUGGUGAAAAUGUCUAAAGAAGAAAAAGGAAAAUGUUGGAAGUGUAAUGAAAUUGAGGGAUCUUUUAUUCACAUGUGUUGGUCGUGUAAAAUAAUAAGGAAUAUUGGGAAACGAUAUAAAAUGAAUUUUAAAAUAUACCUAAAAAGACUUUCCCCAAAACACCUGAGAGUUUCCUUUUGGGGAUGGUAACAAUGGAGGUCCCCCCAAAACAAGAGACUUUAUUACUAUACACCACUGCCACAGUUAGAACCUUAUUGGCACAAAGGUGGAGAACAAGGAUAGUACCCACUCAGGAAGAAUGGCAGUGUAAAAUGUUCGAAUGUACAGUGGUACCUCGGGUUAAGUACUUAAUUCGUUCUGGAGGUCCGUUCUUAACCUGAAGCAACACUUUAGCUAAUGGGGUCUCCUGCUGCUGCCUCGCCGCCAGAGCACAAUUUCUGUUCUCAUCCUGAAGCAGAGUUCUUAACCCGAGGUACUAUUUCUGGGUUAGCAGAGUCUGUAACCUGAAGCGUAUGUAACCCGAGGUACCACUGUACUGAACUGACUGGUCUGACGAACAGGAUAAGAGAAAACAGAUAUAAGGAAUAUAAGGAGGAAUGGAUGUUGUUUAUUGAAUAUUUCAAGAACCAGUCUAGAGAAAGACAUAGCUUAGCAGGUCUCGUAUAAAUCCAGCAGUUAAAAUAGAUGAGAGUAUUUAAUAGAUAUCAAAUCGGAUGAUUAAAAAGAUGUGGAUUACGCAGAGUAGUAGAAAAGGAAAGGAACCAGGAAAAGUGUGGAAGGAAAGUCAUAUGGUAUAUAUAUACAUGUUGUAUUUGGUAUGAAGUUGUAAGUGGGACGAGGGAAGGAGAGAGGGGUUAAAUAUGCUCUCUGUUCCUGUUUUGGAAAAUGCAAAUAAUUUUUAAAAAACUUGAUCCCCUCUUCACGGAGGCGUUUUCAAGGUGGGCACCCCCCCACACACACCAAUGGAGGAGCUGCUCAAAUGUUAACAUACGUCUCAGUCUACAACCUUCUAAGAUUAUACAAUAAAAUUAUAAUGGUACAGGAAUAAUAAUUAGGAGUGUUUUGCAAUCAUCAGUGCAGUUCUCCAUGUGUUUCCUAGAUGUUCACACACAAAUGAUUUUGCAGUGCUCCACUAUUGCCUUAAGUUGUGUUUUCCAUGAAGUAACAUUGUACGUAGCAUAACUCACACACCAAGGCCAGCCCAAUACAUUUUGACACCUGAGGCCGGCCCCCAAAUGGCAUCCCACUCGCCAUCAGGGAAGAAGGGGUGAGGGAAGAUUUACAUCCAGGGCAGAGGGAGAAAGAUUAGCUCAUUUUAAAUGGUAUUGUUUUAACAUUUUGAUGUUUGCUGCGUGAGCUCCUUUGGGAGGAAGAGUGGGAUAAAAAUUUAAAAUAAAUUAAAUAUUUUGGGCAUCUCCUUUUUCUCUUAGUAGGAGAACUUCCACCUGGGAUUGUGGACUUUUGGGGCAACCCCAUCUUGGUCAUCUCCCACCACCCGCUGCCCCAGAUGAGAUAUAUAUACAUUUCUUUUAUUAUAGUCCCAAGCCUCCUUUCUUUCGUCCUGGAACCAAGGACAGCAUCCAGGUGGUUUUCCCCACGCCCAGGCCCUGACCAGACUUCACACCCUCUUGGCUUCAGGUAAUUUAAUUCCACCUCUGCAAAGCCACAGAUUAUGUCCCCAUCUCGCUUUGGACACUAGUUCUUUAGUCACUUUACAAAGGAAGACCAAUUAUUGGCACCUCCCUGCCAGUCUGUGAAUAUUCUCAGGAACUUCAAAAUCUCUGGAACUCCUGUGAUAAGAAGGAAAGAACCACUAAAGACGAAGGGAGAGCACCUGUUUAUUUCAGUCAAACGGAUAUUACAAAAGGAGUAAUAAUAUUUAUUAUAUCCAGUGUCUUCAAAGCAAGAUGCAGCAAAUCCAUUGGGUUAGGCAAGAAGAGUCUUGCAGCCCCUGGAGGUCUAAAAGAGUUACUGCAUUCUUAUAUCUAGGAAAGACUCUCCUCAGCCUACGAAAAGGGAAAGAAGAUGGCGGAAAUCCUAUGGUGGAAACCGCAGAGAGGCAAAAUACGUUCCUCAAGGGCCACAGGUGGAAAAGCAAGAAUGUAUGAGAUAAAAAUUAGGCAAAUUGAAGGCAACAAAACUAGUUUACUUGGAAGAGUUCAUGUGGUCCCACUCCCAGUGGGUCACCCCUCCUAGAAGGCUGUGGGGACCAGGCAACAAGUCUCAUUAACUGGAGGCCUGCAGCCCAAAAGAAGGGGCUCCUUAUUUCAGAUCAAACUCUGGCCAUGAAGCUCCUGACCUGCCUCUCCUCCUUGCUGGCUUCCUCCUUGGCUGUCAGCAGAAUCUGA